RNAcentral lists this ribosomal RNA (490 nucleotides) under uncultured bacterium. Its description in RNAcentral is "bacterial SSU rRNA". It matches the Rfam family "Bacterial small subunit ribosomal RNA", at positions 903 to 1397 of the family's 1533-position model. The record is from RNAcentral.
AAAGGAAUUGACGGGGACCCGCACAAGCAGCGGAGCAUGUGGUUUAAUUCGAAGCAACGCGAAGAACCUUACCAGGGCUUGACAUCCCUCUGACCGGACCUUAAACGGUCCUUUCUUCGGACAGAGGAGACAGGUGGUGCAUGGUUGUCGUCAGCUCGUGUCGUGAGAUGUUGGGUUAAGUCCCGCAACGAGCGCAACCCUUGUCAUUAGUUGCUAACAUUCAGUUGAGAACUCUAAUGAGACUGCCGGGGACAACUCGGAGGAAGGUGGGGAUGACGUCAAAUCAUCAUGCCCCUUAUGUUCUGGGCUACACACGUGCUACAAUGGCCGGUACAAAGAGCAGCAAGACCGCGAGGUGGAGCAAAUCUCAAAAACCGGUCCCAGUUCGGAUUGCAGGCUGCAACUCGCCUGCAUGAAGUCGGAGUUGCUAGUAAUCGUGGAUCAGAAUGCCACGGUGAAUGCGUUCCCGGGUCUUGUACACACCGCCCGU